RNAcentral lists this ribosomal RNA (198 nucleotides) under uncultured bacterium. RNAcentral describes it as "partial 16S ribosomal RNA". It matches the Rfam family "Bacterial small subunit ribosomal RNA", at positions 1294 to 1500 of the family's 1533-position model. The record is from RNAcentral.
CGGAUCGGAGCUGNAACCCGACUCCGUGAAGCUGGAUUCGCUAGUAAUCGCGCAUCAGCCAUGGCGCGGUGAAUACGUUCCCGGGCCUUGUACACACCGCCCGUCAAGCCAUGGGAGCCGGGGGUGCUUGAAGUGCGUCGCCGCAAGGCGCGCCCUAGAGCAAAACCGGUGACUGGGGCUAAGUCGUAACAAGGUACC